This 247-nucleotide ribosomal RNA is filed under the name uncultured bacterium. RNAcentral describes it as "partial 16S ribosomal RNA". It matches the Rfam family "Bacterial small subunit ribosomal RNA", at positions 796 to 1041 of the family's 1533-position model. The record is from RNAcentral.
CUGGCCGUAAACGAUGGAUACUAGGUGUGGGAGGUAUCGACCCCUUCCGUGCCGGAGUUAACGCAAUAAGUAUCCCGCCUGGGGAGUACGGCCGCAAGGCUGAAACUCAAAGGAAUUGACGGGGACCCGCACAAGCGGUGGAGUAUGUGGUUUAAUUCGACGCAACGCGAAGAACCUUACCAAGGCUUGACAUUGAGUGAAAGGCUAAGAGAUUAGCCCCUCUCUUCGGAGACACGAAAACAGGUGG